UGAAGAAACGGGACUCCAGAACAAAGGUUGGAGUGGACGGUCCACCAACGUAGCGAGUCUUUGACUGGAGUAGGCAGGGAGAGAGUCUUGUUUAAAGAAUGCAUAUUCGGUUUGUAAACCGUUGCCAGCCACGCUUGGAAGCACCUCAUGUGUAGGCGUGCAUUCUGGACGACAAAAGUGCACGAGGCCAUGUGACCUAGUAGUUGCAGGCAGUCUCGGGCAGUUACCUGAGGGCUGUUGCGAAUAGUUGUGGUCAGUUGUUUUAUGGAAUUGUAGCGAUCGGGUGGGAGCGAUGCUAGCCCGGUCCGAGAGUCGAGGUCUGCGCCUAUGAACUGAAGGUGCUGGGUGGGGCGUAAUGUGGAUUUGUCUCUGUUUAUUUGUAGGCCGAGAGAAAGAAAGCACUCGACUGUGAGUCGUGUGAACCGGAGCGCCUCGUUGAAUGUUGAAGCUUUGAGGAGGCAAUCGUCGAGGUGUCUGGAGACCUAAAGACCGGAGGGUUGUUCUGGAGUCUUUCAUUGAAUGAAGCACUUCAUUCGUGUUAGCAGCAAAGAGUUUGUCACCGUCGAAGGGAAGAUCUUCAAUUGUGUUCUGAACUUCGCGAGGAAAAAAGGAAGAGGAGAGCCAUGAGCCCCGUCGCAUGACUAUCGCUGUAGCGGUAGAUCUUGCCGCUGUGUUGGCUACAUCGAGGGCUGCUUGGAGAGCGGUGCGUGAAAUGGCUUGGCCCUCAGAAACUAUAGCUCUGAACUGUUGUUUUCUUUGUUCUGGAAUGUCAUCAAUAAAGUCCAUUAACUUA
This is a long non-coding RNA of Malaclemys terrapin pileata, 793 nucleotides long. RefSeq lists it as uncharacterized. The transcript has 2 exons. The record is from RefSeq and is a predicted model, not a curated record. NCBI's taxonomy places the organism in Eukaryota, Metazoa, Chordata, Testudines, Emydidae.